RNAcentral lists this transfer RNA (72 nucleotides) under Pseudorhombus dupliciocellatus (ocellated flounder). Its description in RNAcentral is "tRNA-Val". It matches the Rfam family "tRNA". From Rfam's summary of the family: Transfer RNA (tRNA) molecules are approximately 80 nucleotides in length. Their secondary structure includes four short double-helical elements and three loops (D, anti-codon, and T loops). Further hydrogen bonds mediate the characteristic L-shaped molecular structure. tRNAs have two regions of fundamental functional importance: the anti-codon, which is responsible for specific mRNA codon recognition, and the 3' end, to which the tRNAs corresponding amino acid is attached (by aminoacyl-tRNA synthetases). tRNAs cope with the degeneracy of the genetic code in two manners: having more than one tRNA (with a specific anti-codon) for a particular amino acid; and 'wobble' base-pairing, i.e. permitting non-standard base-pairing at the 3rd anti-codon position. The record is from RNAcentral. Lineage: Eukaryota; Metazoa; Chordata; Actinopteri; Pleuronectiformes; Paralichthyidae.
CGGGGUGUAGCUAAGCCAGCCCAGCGUCUCCCUUACACCGAGAAGACAUCCGUGCAAACCGGAUUACCCCGA